UACGGAGGGUGCAAGCGUUAUCCGGAUUUAUUGGGUGUAAAGGGUGCGUAGGCGGGAGUUUAAGUCGGUGGUGAAAGCCCACAGCUCAACUGUGGAACUGCCAUUGAUACUGGUUUUCUUGAGUAUAGUUGAGGCAGGCGGAAUUUCCGAUGUAGCGGUGAAAUGCAUAGAUAUCGUAAAGAACACCUAUAGCGAAGGCAGCUAGCUAAACUAUAACUGACGCUGAGGCACGAAAGCAUGGGUAGCGAACAGG
Molecule: unclassified non-coding RNA, 253 nt
Filed under: uncultured Cytophagales bacterium
Lineage: Bacteria; Pseudomonadati; Bacteroidota; Sphingobacteriia; Sphingobacteriales
Description: contains 16S-23S intergenic spacer region
Rfam family: Bacterial small subunit ribosomal RNA
Source: RNAcentral